RNAcentral lists this ribosomal RNA (882 nucleotides) under uncultured bacterium. RNAcentral describes it as "bacterial SSU rRNA". It matches the Rfam family "Bacterial small subunit ribosomal RNA". The record is from RNAcentral.
GCUUGCAUCGGUGAUUAGUGGGCGAACGGGUGAGUAACACGUGAGUAACCUGCCCUUAACUCUGGGAUAAGCCUGGGAAACUGGGUCUAAUACCGGAUAUGACUCCUCAUCGCAUGGUGGGGGGUGGAAAGCUUUUUUUGUGGUUUUGGACUGGUACUCGCGGCCUAUCAGCUUGUUGGUGAGGUAAUGGCUUACCAAGGCGACGACGGGUAGCCGGCCUGAGAGGGUGACCGGCCACACUGGGACUGAGACACGGCCCAGCACUCCUACGGGAGGCAGCAGUGGGGACGUAUCUGCACAAUGGGCGGAAGCCUGAUGCCAGCGACGCCGCGUGAGGGAAUGACGGCCUUCGGGUUGUAAACCUCUUUCAGUAGGGAAGAAGCGUAAGUGACGGUACUUCUGCAGAAGAAGCGUCCGGCUAACUACGUGCCAGUUCUAUGCCGCGGUAAUACGUAGGGCGCAAGCGUUAUCCGGAAUUAUCUGGGCGUAUAAGAGCAUCGUAGGCGGUUUGUCGCGUCUGCCGUGAAAGUCCGGGGCUCAACUCCGGAUCUGCGGUGGGUACGGGCAGACUAGAGUGAUGUAGGGGAGACUGGAAUUCCUGGUGUAGCGGUGAAAUGCGCAGAUAUCAGGAGGAACACCGAUGGCGAAGGCAGGUCUCUGGGCAUUAACUGACGCUGAGGAGCGAAAGCAUGGGGAGCGAACAGGAUUAGAUACCCUGGUAGUCCAUGCCGUAAACGUUGGGCACUAGGUGUGGGGGACAUUCCACGUUUUCCCCGCCGUAGCUAACGCAUUAAGGUGCCCCGAAUCUCAUAUUAUUUCCCAUUCCUUUCUCUCAUGUUCGUUUUUUUUUUCCUCUCCCCCCUUCUCCCCUCUUCCUCCCCC